AUUGAACGCUGGCGGCAGGCUUAACACAUGCAAGUCGAGCGGAGAUGAGGUGCUUGCACCUUAUCUUAGCGGCGGACGGGUGAGUAAUGCUUAGGAAUCUGCCUAUUAGUGGGGGACAACAUUCCGAAAGGAAUGCUAAUACCGCAUACGUCCUACGGGAGAAAGCAGGGGAUCUUCGGACCUUGCGCUAAUAGAUGAGCCUAAGUCGGAUUAGCUAGUUGGUGGGGUAAAGGCCUACCAAGGCGACGAUCUGUAGCGGGUCUGAGAGGAUGAUCCGCCACACUGGGACUGAGACACGGCCCAGACUCCUACGGGAGGCAGCAGUGGGGAAUAUUGGACAAUGGGGGGAACCCUGAUCCAGCCAUGCCGCGUGUGUGAAGAAGGCCUUAUGGUUGUAAAGCACUUUAAGCGAGGAGGAGGCUACUGAGACUAAUACUCUUGGAUAGUGGACGUUACUCGCAGAAUAAGCACCGGCUAACUCUGUGCCAGCAGCCGCCGUAA
This 501-nucleotide ribosomal RNA is filed under the name uncultured bacterium. RNAcentral describes it as "partial 16S ribosomal RNA". It matches the Rfam family "Bacterial small subunit ribosomal RNA", at positions 30 to 523 of the family's 1533-position model. The record is from RNAcentral.